Molecule: ribosomal RNA, 1343 nt
Filed under: uncultured bacterium
Lineage: Bacteria
Description: 16S ribosomal RNA
Rfam family: Bacterial small subunit ribosomal RNA
Source: RNAcentral
GACGAACGCUGGCGGCGUGCUUAACACAUGCAAGUCGAACGGAAAGGCCCUGCUUUUGUGGGGUGCUCGAGUGGCGAACGGGUGAGUAACACGUGAGUAACCUGCCCUUGACUUUGGGAUAACUUCAGGAAACUGGGGCUAAUACCGGAUAGGAGCUCCUGCUGCAUGGUGGGGGUUGGAAAGUUUCGGCGGUUGGGGAUGGACUCGCGGCUUAUCAGCUUGUUGGUGGGGUAGUGGCUUACCAAGGCUUUGACGGGUAGCCGGCCUGAGAGGGUGACCGGCCACAUUGGGACUGAGAUACGGCCCAGACUCCUACGGGAGGCAGCAGUGGGGAAUAUUGCACAAUGGGCGGAAGCCUGAUGCAGCAACGCCGCGUGCGGGAUGACGGCCUUCGGGUUGUAAACCGCUUUCGCCUGUGACGAAGCGUGAGUGACGGUAAUGGGUAAAGAAGCACCGGCUAACUACGUGCCAGCAGCCGCGGUGAUACGUAGGGUGCGAGCGUUGUCCGGAUUUAUUGGGCGUAAAGGGCUCGUAGGUGGUUGAUCGCGUCGGAAGUGUAAUCUUGGGGCUUAACCCUGAGCGUGCUUUCGAUACGGGUUGACUUGAGGAAGGUAGGGGAGAAUGGAAUUCCUGGUGGAGCGGUGGAAUGCGCAGAUAUCAGGAGGAACACCAGUGGCGAAGGCGGUUCUCUGGGCCUUUCCUGACGCUGAGGAGCGAAAGCGUGGGGAGCGAACAGGCUUAGAUACCCUGGUAGUCCACGCUGUAAACGGUGGGUACUAGGUGUGGGGUCCAUUCCACGGGUUCCGUGCCGUAGCUAACGCUUUAAGUACCCCGCCUGGGGAGUACGGCCGCAAGGCUAAAACUCAAAGGAAUUGACGGGGCCCCGCACAAGCGGCGGAGCAUGCGGAUUAAUUCGAUGCAACGCGUAGAACCUUACCUGGGUUUGACAUGGAUCGGGAGCGCUCAGAGAUGGGUGUGCCUCUUUUGGGGUCGGUUCACAGGUGGUGCAUGGCUGUCGUCAGCUCGUGUCGUGAGAUGUUGGGUUAAGUCCCGCAACGAGCGCAACCCUUGUUCACUGUUGCCAGCACGUUAUGGUGGGGACUCAGUGGAGACCGCCGGGGUCAACUCGGAGGAAGGUGGGGAUGACGUCAAGUCAUCAUGCCCCUUAUGUCCAGGGCUUCACGCAUGCUACAAUGGCUGGUACAGGGAGUGGCGAGCCUGUGAGGGUGAGCGAAUCUCGGAAAGCCGGUCUCAGUUCGGAUUGGGGUCUGCAACUCGACCUCAUGAAGUCGGAGUCGCUAGUAAUCGCAGAUCAGCAACGCUGCGGUGAAUACGUUCCCGGG